AAUAGAUACCCACGGUAGUCCACGCCGUAAACGAUGAGUGCUAAGUGUUAGGGGGUUUCCGCCCCUUAGUGCUGCAGCUAACGCAUUAAGCACUCCGCCUGGGGAGUACGGUCGCAAGACUGAAACUCAAAGGAAUUGACGGGGGCCCGCACAAGCGGUGGAGCAUGUGGUUUAAUUCGAAGCAACACGAAGAACCUUACCAGGUCUUGACAUCCCAUUGACCGCUAUGGAGACAUAGUUUUCCCUUCGGGGACAGUGGUGACAGGUGGUGCAUGGUUGUCGUCAGCUCGUGUCGUGAGAUGUUGGGUUAAGUCCCGCAACGAGCGCAACCCUUGUUCUUAGUUGCCAUCAUUUAGUUGGGCACUCUAAGGGAGACUGCCGGUGACAAACCGGGAGGAAGGUGGGGAUGACGUCAAAUCAUCAUGCCCCCUUUAUGACCUGGGCUACACACGUGCUACAAUGGACGGUACAAACGGUUGCCAACCCGCGGAGGGGGAGCUAAUCCGAUAAACCGUUCUCAGUUCGGAUUGUAGGCUGCACUCGCCUAC
This 548-nucleotide ribosomal RNA is filed under the name uncultured bacterium. RNAcentral's name for it is "bacterial SSU rRNA". It matches the Rfam family "Bacterial small subunit ribosomal RNA", at positions 777 to 1319 of the family's 1533-position model. The record is from RNAcentral.